This is a long non-coding RNA of Mesoplodon densirostris (Blainville's beaked whale), 1016 nucleotides long. RefSeq lists it as uncharacterized. The transcript has 3 exons. Lineage: Eukaryota; Metazoa; Chordata; Mammalia; Artiodactyla; Ziphiidae. The record is from RefSeq and is a predicted model, not a curated record.
CUGCCUGCAUCUCAAGGCUCAACUGGGGGCGGAUCCUUUUCCAAGCUCACUCCCUGGCUGUUGGCAAGUCUCAGGUUCUCACUGGCUAUUGGUCAGAGGCCUUGCUGGGGUCCAGGCGUGUAGGCGUCUCCAUAGGGCAGCUCAUGACACGGCAGCUGGCUUUUCCCAGAGUAAGAGAGAGUGAGGGACUGCAAGAAGGGCAGAAGGCACAGGCAUUUUACACCAGUUUCAGAAGUGCCCUCCCAUCACUUUUGUUGUAUUCUAUUUGUUAGAAGCAAGUCCCUAGGCCCACUGUACCCUGGAGGGGGCAGAUUACAAAAGGCAUGAAUGCUGGGAAGUAGAGGGUCAUCGGGAGCCAUUUCCAAGGCGGCCUUCUCACCAUGACUCAGCCCAUAGCUGCGCUGAAUUUCUCAGAGCAGGAGAUCUCCAUCCUGCUUGUUUGGCAUGGGGUGUCCAGCACAGGAGCUUCAUGGUCGUUGAGUGGAGCUGGGUCUUAGCGUCGAGACGGAGAUCCCUGGGAGAGCUCUCACCGAUUGAUAUUACAUGGGGCCAGGAGGUCUCUGGUGGAUGAAUGUCCUGAACUCAGCUCUCCCACCUCGGAGGCUCAGGCCUGACACCCGGCCAGAGCACCAAGACCCUGUCAGCCACACUGCUCCCAAGUCUACUGUUGCUCCCAAAGUCCACUGUCUCAAUUUGGGAUGAUUCGCUGUCUAUUCAGGUAUUCCAUAGAUGCAGGGUACAUCAAGUUGAUUGUGGAGCUUUAAUCCAGCUGCUCCUGAGGCUGCCUGGAGAGAUUUCCCUUUCUCUUCUUUGUUCGCACAGCUCCUGGGGUUCAGCUUUGGAUUUGGCCCCGCCUUUGCAUUGUGGUCCAUGGACUGGAAGCCUCAGCAUCACUUGGGCACUUGUGAGAAAUGCAGAAUCUCAAGCUCUGCUCCAGAUCUACAGAAUCAGAAUCUGUUUGCAAACAAGAGCCUCAGAUGUUUUGUACCUUCAUUAAUGUUUGAGAAACACUGAAU